AUUUGCUUCGCUGUAGUUUAGAAGAGCGUUGACCUAUAAAGUUGGUGGAAAAUAACGAUCUCAUGAACAUGGAUGAGGGAUUCCUUGAGAUCUCAGCAAUAAAGAUACAGGUGUUCCCGG
Molecule: long non-coding RNA, 120 nt
Organism: Coregonus clupeaformis (lake whitefish)
Lineage: Eukaryota; Metazoa; Chordata; Actinopteri; Salmoniformes; Salmonidae
Exons: 3
Source: RefSeq, a predicted model, not a curated record